Molecule: ribosomal RNA, 232 nt
Filed under: uncultured bacterium
Lineage: Bacteria
Description: partial 16S ribosomal RNA
Rfam family: Bacterial small subunit ribosomal RNA
Source: RNAcentral
GAUCCUGGCUCAGGAUGAACGCUAGCGACAGGCUUAACACAUGCAAGUCGAGGGGCAGCAUGAUAAGUAGCAAUACUUAUUGAUGGCGACCGGCGCACGGGUGAGUAACGCGUAUGCAACUUACCUAUCAGAGGGGGAUAGCCCGGCGAAAGUCGGAUUAAUACUCCAUAAAACAGGGGUUCCGCAUGGGACUAUUUGUUAAAGAUUCAUCGCUGAUAGAUAGGCAUGCGUU